AAAGCAGAUGAUUUGGGCUAUUUGUCCUUGAAUGGUGAAGCCAUUUUGAUGACGUGGCAACCAUUUGUUUAGUGAACCUUUAUUUUGAGUGGGAAAAUAUCUACUUCAUCAAACACCAACCAUUACACGCGGGAUCCGAUGAUCUUUGGGUCGGAUUCAUUCUUUACCAAACAAACCGACUUACAAUAUGGAUCCUAUAUAAACUUCUUCUCAAUCAUUGAACCCUAAUUUUUCUUUCUUCUCUUUGUGUGCGACCGCUGGUUCUGUGUUCUAAAUCCAAAUCCGCUUUACAUCUUUGGUGUCGAAUCUGUUAAAACUUCAUCGAUUGUUCUACACAAUCAUCAGAUAAUUAUAUAGCCGGUGAUCCUUUUAGAUGAUGAAUCUGUCAACAAUAGUAGGUAUCGACCCCUUGCAUAACACUCCUUCAUUUCUAAAGUUAAUAGAUGAAGAUUUCCCG
Long non-coding RNA from Helianthus annuus (common sunflower), 457 nucleotides. RefSeq lists it as uncharacterized. NCBI's taxonomy places the organism in Eukaryota, Viridiplantae, Streptophyta, Magnoliopsida, Asterales, Asteraceae. The record is from RefSeq and is a predicted model, not a curated record. The transcript has 4 exons.